RNAcentral lists this ribosomal RNA (200 nucleotides) under uncultured bacterium. RNAcentral describes it as "partial 16S ribosomal RNA". It matches the Rfam family "Bacterial small subunit ribosomal RNA", at positions 8 to 210 of the family's 1533-position model. The record is from RNAcentral.
AGAGUUUGAUCCUGGCUCAGGACGAACGCUGGCGGCGUGCCUAAUACAUGCAAGUCGAGCGGAUCGUACCUUCGGGUACGGUUAGCGGCGGACGGGUGAGUAACACGUAGGUAACCUGCCUACAAGACUGGGAUAACUAACGGAAACGUUAGCUAAUACCGGAUACGCGAACUUCUCGCAUGAAGAGUUCGGGAAAGACG